Long non-coding RNA from Lycium ferocissimum, 608 nucleotides. RefSeq lists it as uncharacterized. Lineage: Eukaryota; Viridiplantae; Streptophyta; Magnoliopsida; Solanales; Solanaceae. The transcript is spliced from 3 exons. The record is from RefSeq and is a predicted model, not a curated record.
UAUUGUAUCCAGUCCAGGCAAGUAACAAGCCUUGCAUUUUUUCUUCUUUUUUGAUUAUUUUAUCUUAAAAGUUUAGAGUGUAAAUCAGGCACCAUCACCUUGAAGAAACGUCUGUUAAUUGGAAGUUCCUCUUCCAUUGUAGAAGGAGAAGAAGAUAGCAUUUUUAAGAUUUUGCAAAGGGUCGAUUCCGUCAGACUUGUCGAAAUAAGGGAAAAUUAUCAUAAAGCAUAAAAGCAAAGCAUAGAAUAGAUCUUAAAAGAAAAUUAAAUCCCUGAAGAGGUACCUUUUUAUUGAUUUCUUCAGAAAACUUGCUCAACAUAUUCUACAUAGAUAUGUAAUUAAAUAAAAAAUCUUCUUUAAUAAAGACAAUCAGGAAUCUAUUAUUUCUCAUAGAUUUACUGUAAAUUUCAUUACUGGUGGCUUAUUAAGUGCAGAAAUUAUGUUCUAAGACUAAAGAGGUCGGUCAAGGAGAUUGAUUGAUUAAUGCAUUAUGAGGAAUGAUCUCAGGUGGCUUUUGUUAGAUGCAUUUAAGCUGAUGUUAUGUUUGUACUUCUUUUAAUUUACUUUCAUUGUUGUUCUUAAAUUUUAUUAUGUGUUAUGGCAUGUAU